AAUCUUCCACAAUGGACGAAAGUCUGAUGGAACAACGCCGCGUGAUUGAAGAAUGUUUUCGGUUCAUAAAGCUCUGUUGUGAGGGAAGAACAAGUACAGGAGUCACCGUCUGUACUUUUAAGGUACCUCUCCAGAAAGCCACCGCUAACUACGUGCCAGCAGCCGCGGUAAUACGUAGGUGGCAAGCGUUGUCCGGAAUUAUUGGGCGUAAAGCGCGCGCAGGCGGUCCUUUAAGUCUGAUGUGAAAGCCCACGGCUCAACCGUGGAGGGUCAUUGGAAACUGGAGGACUUGAGUACAGAAGAGGAAAGCGGAAUUCCACGUGUAGCGGUGAAAUGCGUAGAGAUGUGGAGGAACACCAGUGGCGAAGGCGGCUUUCUGGUCUGUAACUGACGCUGAGGCGCGAAAGCGUGGGGAGCAAAC
Molecule: ribosomal RNA, 421 nt
Filed under: uncultured bacterium
Lineage: Bacteria
Description: partial 16S ribosomal RNA
Rfam family: Bacterial small subunit ribosomal RNA
Source: RNAcentral